GGGCCGGUAGCUCAGUGGUAGAGCAACGGACUUUUAAUCCGUCGGUCGUGGGUUCGACCCCCACCCGGCCCU
RNAcentral lists this transfer RNA (72 nucleotides) under Myxococcales bacterium. RNAcentral describes it as "tRNA-Lys". It matches the Rfam family "tRNA". Rfam says of the family: Transfer RNA (tRNA) molecules are approximately 80 nucleotides in length. Their secondary structure includes four short double-helical elements and three loops (D, anti-codon, and T loops). The record is from RNAcentral. Lineage: Bacteria; Pseudomonadati; Myxococcota; Myxococcia; Myxococcales.